CUAGAAGGCAUCCCACUUGGACGCCUCCCUAGUAAUGACUCAA
RNAcentral lists this ribosomal RNA (43 nucleotides) under Colletotrichum gloeosporioides. Its description in RNAcentral is "partial 18S ribosomal RNA". Lineage: Eukaryota; Fungi; Ascomycota; Sordariomycetes; Glomerellales; Glomerellaceae. The record is from RNAcentral.